GGCCAUGGCGCUCGCAGAUCCGCCCGCCCCGUCAUCGCCGCUGCGCUCGCAGGUGAGCGGCGCCGACCUAACGGAUCUUCCUCGUCGUCAACCCGGCGUACUGGUGUGGUGGAUCCGCCUCCUCUCUGUUUCAACCAUGGUUGUGCUCUUUCAUGUGCGCGGCCCUCUCCGUGACAACUGCAGCCCAAGGUCGUCAAAUCCGUCACCGUCGCCAUUCUUCUGCUCGAGGCCUUUGCCACCAUGGAUGGAUGCGGGCAAGGCCAGCCUCCCCCUCCCCACGCAUAGGUGACUAUGGGAGUUGCAUUGACAGAGUCCAUGUAUUAAACUGGGGCAUUUUUGGCAGCUGCAGCAACCUGACAAUUAAUUCGUUCUCAUCCAAGGUUUACCGCUCGUCUUGCUAAUGUUAAUUUGUAUGUUUGUUGAUGGCUUGCUUCCCAACCACAUGUGCUCCCCACGGUGAGGAACGGACGUGCUCAACGCCUUCCUUCCCAACCAGAUAUGAGAAAGAAGAAAUAGGACCAAGAAAAUUAGUUGCUCAUAUAUUCAUCUGUCUUGCGGAGAAGAACCCGAAUGGAGAACUUGGUAUGCCGAGUAAUGUGCAGGUUGCUUUUGUCCUCUCACCUGCUCUUUGGUCUUCGUCUGUUGCUCUGCUGGCUCGUCAUCUCCUUGGUUGGAGGUUGUUCUUGGUCCUGCCAUUUGUUCUUGUUAGAGCUCACUGAAAAUAUUUGUUCUCACCUAUGCUAAUGCCUUUCGGUUAAACUAGGAAUUAUUUCAUUGUUGGAAGCUUUCAUCUGCAUAUAUGCGUAAGGGGCUGUGUAUUUAUUUUG
This is a long non-coding RNA of Triticum dicoccoides, 827 nucleotides long. RefSeq lists it as uncharacterized. Lineage: Eukaryota; Viridiplantae; Streptophyta; Magnoliopsida; Poales; Poaceae. The record is from RefSeq and is a predicted model, not a curated record. The transcript is spliced from 5 exons.